AGAAUCAACGCUGGCGGCGUGCCUCAGGCAUGCAAGUCGAACGCGAAAGUUCCCUUCGGGGGGCAAGUAGAGUGGCGCACGGGUGAGUAACACGUAGGUAAUCUACCUUUGGAUGGGGAAUAACAACCGGAAACGGUUGCUAAUACGCAUAAUGCAGCGGCACCUAAUGGUGACAGUUGUUAAAGCGGGGGAUCGAAAGACCUCGCGUCUGAAGAGGAGCCUGCGGCGGAUUAGCUAGUUGGUAGGGUAACGGCCUACCAAGGCUACGAUCCGUA
Molecule: ribosomal RNA, 275 nt
Filed under: uncultured soil bacterium
Lineage: Bacteria
Description: partial 16S ribosomal RNA
Rfam family: Bacterial small subunit ribosomal RNA
Source: RNAcentral